Molecule: ribosomal RNA, 497 nt
Filed under: uncultured bacterium
Lineage: Bacteria
Description: partial 16S ribosomal RNA
Rfam family: Bacterial small subunit ribosomal RNA
Source: RNAcentral
GAUGAACGCUGGCGGCGUGCCUAACACAUGCAAGUCGAGCGGACAGACGAGGAUCUUGCUCGUCUGACGUUAGGGGCGGGCGUGUGAGAAACACGUGUAUAACCUACCUAGAAGACUGGGAUCACUAGGGGAAACCGGAUCUCAUACCGUAUAAGAUAUUGAACCGCGGGGUUCGAUGGUGAAAUACGGCUUUGCUGUCACUAAUAGAUGGUGCCGCGCUGGUUUGGCUAGUUGGUAAGGUAACGGCUUACCAAGGCGACGAUGCGUAGCCGAACUGAGAGGGUGAUAGGCCACACUGGAACUGAGACACGGUCCAGACUCCUACGGGAGGCAGCAGUAGGGAAUGUUAGGCAAUGGGCGAAAGCCUGACGCAGCAACGCCGCGUGUGUGAUGAAGGUCUUCGGAUCGUAAAGCUCUGUUAUUUGGGAAGAACAGAUGUGGACUAAUACCUGGCCGUAUUGACGGUACCUAAUGAAAAAGCACCGGCUAACUACGUG